RNAcentral lists this ribosomal RNA (497 nucleotides) under uncultured bacterium. Its description in RNAcentral is "partial 16S ribosomal RNA". It matches the Rfam family "Bacterial small subunit ribosomal RNA", at positions 28 to 507 of the family's 1533-position model. The record is from RNAcentral.
GAUGAACGCUGGCGGCGUGCCUAAUACAUGCAGGUCGAGCGAACGGACGAGAAGCUUGCUUCUCUGAUGUUAGCGGCGGACGGGUGAGUAACACGUGGAUAACCUACCUAUAAGACUGGGAUAACUUCGGGAAACCGGAGCUAAUACCGGAUGAUAUUUUGAACCGCAUGGUUCAAAAGUGAAAGACGGUCUUGCUGUCACUUAUAGAUGGAUCCGCGCUGCAUUAGCUAGUUGGUAAGGUAACGGCUUACCAAGGCAACGAUGCAUAGCCGACCUGAUAGGGUGAUCGGCCACACUGGAACUGAGACACGGUCCAGACUCCUACGGGAGGCAGCAGUAGGGAAUCUUCCGCAAUGGGCGAAAGCCUGACGGAGCGACGCCGCGUGUGUGAUGAAGGUCUUCGGAUCGUAAAGCUCUGUUAUUAGGGAAGAACAGAUGUGUACGUAACUGUGCCCAUCUUGACGGUACCUAAUCAGAAAGCCACGGCUAACUACGUG